RNAcentral lists this ribosomal RNA (207 nucleotides) under uncultured bacterium. RNAcentral's name for it is "partial 16S ribosomal RNA". It matches the Rfam family "Bacterial small subunit ribosomal RNA", at positions 568 to 774 of the family's 1533-position model. The record is from RNAcentral.
CGUGUAGGCGGUCCGCUAAGUCUGAUGUGAAAGCCCGGGGCUCACCCCCGGAAGUGCAUUGGAAACUGGCGGACUCGAGUCCCGGAGAGGAGAGUGGAAUUCCUGGUGUAGCGGUGAAAUGCGUAGAUAUCAGGAGGAACACCGGUGGCGAAGGCGGCUCUCUGGACGGUGACUGACGCUGGGACGCGAAAGCGUGGGGAGCAAACA